This 314-nucleotide long non-coding RNA is filed under the name Dromaius novaehollandiae (emu). Its description in RNAcentral is "lncRNA (ENSDNVG00000019199.1)". Lineage: Eukaryota; Metazoa; Chordata; Aves; Casuariiformes; Dromaiidae. The record is from RNAcentral.
UUGCUGGGCCUGGUCCCUCCUCAGCUGACUGCUUCCCCUCGCGGAGCCCUGCCUGUUGCUGCUCUCCCGGUCCUAGUGAGCCAGUGCUGGUCUGCAUGAGGGAAAGCUGUGGGUUUCUGUCAGCUGGCGCGCCUACCACUGCGUCCUGGAGAGCCUGGAAGCACCCGGGCCUGGAGAGCAGAGGGAAGCCCCGUGCCCGCGGCACCACCCGCCCUCUGGUCUGUAGCUACCGCCGUCGUUUCCUCGUGGCGUUUGGGCUCUUGAGACGGGGCUCCGCGCUGGCCGUGCGGAUGGAGCCGGAGGGCAGAGCUCCC